AGCGAACGCUGGCGGCAGGCCUAACACAUGCAAGUCGAACGAACCUUUCGGGGUUAGUGGCGGACGGGUGAGUAACACGUGGGAACGUGCCUUUAGGUUCGGAAUAACUCAGGGAAACUUGUGCUAAUACCGAAUGUGCCCUUCGGGGGAAAGAUUUAUCGCCUUUAGAGCGGCCCGCGUCUGAUUAGCUAGUUGGUUGAGGUAAUGGCUCACCAAGGCGACGAUCAGUAGCUGGUCUGAGAGGAUGAUCAGCCACAUUGGGACUGAGACACGGCCCAAACUCCUACGCGAGGCAGCAGUGGGGAAUCUUGCGCAAUGGGCGAAAGCAUGACGCAGCCAUGACGCGUGAAUGAUGAAGGUCUUAGGAUUGUAAAAUUCUUUCACCGGGGACGAUAAUGACGGUACCCGGAGAAGAAGCCCCGGCUAACUUCGUG
RNAcentral lists this ribosomal RNA (434 nucleotides) under uncultured bacterium. Its description in RNAcentral is "partial 16S ribosomal RNA". It matches the Rfam family "Bacterial small subunit ribosomal RNA", at positions 29 to 507 of the family's 1533-position model. The record is from RNAcentral.